UACGGAGGGUGCGAGCGUUGUCCGGAAUCACUGGGCGUAAAGGGCGCGUAGGUGGCGGCCCAAGUCAACGGUGAAAGCUCGGCGCUCAACGCCGAGUCGGCCGUCGAUACUGGGUUGCUUGAGCACUGUAGAGGCAGGCGGAAUUCCGGGUGUAGCGGUGGAAUGCGUAGAGAUCCGGAAGAACACCGGUGGCGAAGGCGGCCUGCUGGGCAGUUGCUGACACUGAGGCGCGACAGCGUGGGGAGCAAACAGG
RNAcentral lists this ribosomal RNA (253 nucleotides) under uncultured bacterium. RNAcentral describes it as "partial 16S ribosomal RNA". It matches the Rfam family "Bacterial small subunit ribosomal RNA", at positions 524 to 776 of the family's 1533-position model. The record is from RNAcentral.